CAGGUGGUCUGUAGACCACACUUUAAGAAUUAUCUUCAAGGAUUGGGCUAGUUUUAGUUUGUAGUGAUUUCUUGUGUCUCUUAAUGAAGGCCUAGACAAUAUAGUCUGGAUUGAUUGGAUAAACACAGAGGAACAAGAGCGCGGCAGAAUUGUACCAUGCAUGCAGCAGGCCAUGCUCUACACGGGCCUCUCAGGAUGCAGCAGAGAGGUACCCUGGAUAUACAGGCUUUUUGGAAUACUGAUGUGAGUGUUGAGGCCAGAAAAAUG
Molecule: long non-coding RNA, 267 nt
Filed under: Pan troglodytes (chimpanzee)
Lineage: Eukaryota; Metazoa; Chordata; Mammalia; Primates; Hominidae
Description: long non-coding RNA NONPTRT005045
Source: RNAcentral